GUGCUUGCUUCAGCAGCACAUGAAUUAAAAUUGGAAUCAGAGAGAUUAGCAAAGUGACAUACAAAUCUGUGAAGCAUUCCAUAUUUU
Molecule: small nuclear RNA, 87 nt
Filed under: Cervus elaphus hippelaphus
Lineage: Eukaryota; Metazoa; Chordata; Mammalia; Artiodactyla; Cervidae
Source: RNAcentral